Molecule: small nucleolar RNA, 210 nt
Organism: Phlebotomus argentipes
Lineage: Eukaryota; Metazoa; Arthropoda; Insecta; Diptera; Psychodidae
Product: small nucleolar RNA U3
Exons: 1
Source: RefSeq, a predicted model, not a curated record
AAGACUAUACUUCACAGGAUCAUUUCUGUAGUUUGUCUUCAUCAAUCGUUAGUCCUAUUUGGGUGGCGAUUCAAGCCGCGAUGAUGCUAUGCAGCGUAGCGUCUCGUCUGGAGCGUGAAAAGGACGGCGAGAAGGCCUUCGGGCUCUUCUCAUCCGUCGUUGAAGAUCGCUCGCGCUUCGGCGCGAAGGACGCGACGCAGGCUGAGUGGC